AUGCCUAAUUAUUCUUAUAUUGUUUAUGACCGUGUACCUACUAACAAUAAAAUUAAUUAUGGACUAUCUACAUCAGUUUAGAAAUCAUAAUCAUUUUGGCGCCAUUUCUAAGAGGUUGGAGAUAAUAACAUAACCUCACCGGUGAAUUAUCAUUUCGUAUUGUUAUGCGAAUGCGAAUGUAUGGUAAUCCGUAUUCCGUUGUUAUCAUUAUGUUUAAGUUUCUAUACUGCAUUUUCGAUUUCGGUACACAAAUUUGUUUAUUCAUUAAAUUCUAUAACAAAAAUGUGCGUGAUUUGUGUUAAUACCGUUCGUUUUGCCUUUUCAAUUGAAACAAAAUCGAUAAUUCGUUUAGUGCGCGCCAAAUACAUUAAAACUAAUAGUUUUAAUAACGACUGAAGUGAUUGAUUGCAUCGUUUUUAAAAUUUUUUUUUGUGUUUUGUGAAUCGAUUUAUACGACAUGUGAACAUUGUUAACUGAGUUAAUCGUCGUUAAAACUCUUUACGCUUAAGUAAAAUCAAACAAUGUUAAAACAUGUGAUCCAUUUUUUUUUAUCAGAAGAAAUAAAAUUUAAAAUUUUUUCAAAAUAUCUAAUAUUCAAACUAAUUGUAAUUUUGUUAAUAUUUAAAUAAUAUAGGUUAACUACUAAGUGAUUCAAAAUUAAUUCCAUUUAAUUUGUAUACAUAGGUACCUAUUGUAGGUAUUGUAGUUUUUUUAAAUGUAUUUUUAAUAAUUUCUUUUAGUUGAACAUUUUACAUGCGCACUACCUUCCCAUUGAAAUUGUUUACAAACCUUUUUUCUUAAAUUUUAAUAAAUGUGCAUUUGUAUUGCCUUGUGAUUGGUCACAAUAUUUUUGUAAUAAUUCAGUUUUGAUUUAAGUACCUAGUACUGUUGUAAUUUUGAAGUUUAUAAUAUUGUUCAUAAAUAUUAAUAGGUUCUUAAUAGUGAUUCCGGUAGGUUCAGAAACAUUUUAUAUACAUACCAAUGUAUUAAGCUGAAAAUGUUAAAAUUAUUUUAUUCAAUAAUAUGUUAAAUGGAUCUACUAAAUUACCUAGUUAAAAUAUUUUUAAAUUACUUGAGUGAAUUGUGAAUUGUUUUAUUCAACGUAAUCAAUUGGACGUACAUAAUAUGCUGACAGUGAUUAAAUGGAUUACCUACUUUUGUAACUUAACUGGUAAGAUAUACUAUUUAUAUUUAAAAAUUGAAAAGUAAAUUAUUAGGUAUUAUACUUAUUUAAGAUAUUUUAAUACAGUGAAAAUAGUAUCUAUUACAAAAAGAUUAAAAUUGAAAACAUUAUUUUAAAAUAUACCGAAGACAUUAAUUAUUAUUUAAAUAUAUUAUAAAUUAAAUUAGGUAAAUACAUACUGGUAUAUAUUGGUAAAUACAUACUGGUAUAUAUUGGUAAAUAAUUAUUUUACAUAACUUUCAUCCUUAAUGCAUUCAUUCGUUUCAUUCUUCCCAUUAUGCCAUGAUAUAAUGUUUGGUGCAUUACCUUGGCACCAACCUUACAAAAUACUCAAUACUCAUAAUUUCAAUCAUGUAAUAUUGUGUACUUUAUUUUGUACAACUAAACAAAUUAAAUAUUGUUUUACCCUUAAAUUCAAUUUCAUCUUAUAGAUUAUCUUGUACAACAACUUUGGAAUUUCUGUGUCUGAUUAAAUAACAAGUUAUUUAAAACCUCUAAGAAAAACCAUUAUAAGGUAUAAUUGUAUAAUUUUAGCUGAGAGUUCAGAAUUUUUCGGUAGUAUAUAUUUUAAUAAAUUAGUUGAAUACGUGGAUAUAUAUUAUGAAAAUAUACAUUAGGGUGCUAGUUAUGUUUGAAGUUGAACAAUUUAAGUAAUGCCAACUAAAAAUUUGUAUCAAUUGAACCCAUUCUUGAGAAAUGAAGAAAAAAAUAUGUAUAGCUUAUAUAUUGCUUAUUUUUGAAAAAUUCUUAGUUUUAGUUUUUUGCAAAAAUCUUCUGAAAUUAGAAAAACAAAAAUAGUUAUUAUUGUACUAUAUUACUGAAAAAUAUUUAUAACUAAUAUUUUUUUUCAAAAUAUCCUCUUUCUUGUUAAAUUAAAGAAAAUACAUUUCCAAACUGGUAAAAUAAAUAGGGGGCGAAUUGUAUAGUUGUUUUAUAAUAAUAAAAUUAACAUAAUUAAACAGAUCAUUACAGUUUUGUUUUUUUUCAAGAAUGUUUAAUGUUGGUUUAAGAUAUUUUUAACGAUAAUUUUGUAUGGUCUGGAACAUAAAACAACAUAAUUUAAACUAAACGAUUAGAUAAAAUUAUUUCAUUAAAUUAGUAGGUAGGUAUUUGUGAUAUCCUUGAUAUUUACUUGUAAUACAAAUUAAAACUAAGUUCUUCAUCUUUAAUUAUUUUUGAUAUAAUUCUUCCUUUUAUUUUAAAUAUUUUAAACAUUUUUUGAGACAUCCCCAAUAAGUUUAAAUUUAUGACUUAGACUCUGAGUAUAGCGAAAAAUGUAUUAGUUUAACAAAAAUAUUAAUUUUUUUCUUUAUGUGAACAUUUUCUACCAGAAAUUUUAUUCCAAUGUAUACAAUGUACCAGGUUAUUCAUUUAAGUAGGUACAUUCAUUAUCUCGGAAAGUAUUAACUUUUUCUGGAAUUUGCUUUCUAGAACAUUUAAGAAACAAUUUGCUCCACAAUUUUAUAUUUGUUAUUUUUUGUCACCAAUAUUUUUAAGAGUAAAACAACUAUCUACUUUUUAUUUUCAAAUGGCAAUCUAUAUUAAAGUCCAUAAAUAGAUUGAGUAUUGGUUAAAAUAAAUUUUAGUGUUGACAUUUUUUAUUUCUGUUGAUCCGUUGACAAGAUAUUCAUUAGUGUGGCGGUACGACCCACAGCGUGUUAAUAAUGCACCACUACUCUCCUCCAACACAAAAUUAAAAGUGGUAUAUCUUGUCAACGGCUUGGCAGAAAUAAAAAAAUUCAACACUAAAAUUUAAAUUAACUUAUACUUAAUCUAUUUAUGGACUUUUUAAUAUAGAUUACCAUUUGAAAAUCAAAAGUAGGUAGCUGUUUUACCUCCAGAAAGGGUUACAAAAAAUAACACAAAUAUAAAAUUGUGGAUAAUGUUGAUAAAGCAUCACUAUCAACUGAAUUCCCCUCAGAAUCUUUUUUAGUAAUCAAUGGUUUAUUGUUGCUUAUAGAUACAAAUUAAUUUCCCUUCUAAUCCUACGUUCCCAACUAUUCACUAACAAAGGUGGCUGCACCCAUGUCCUUUUAAUUAGUUCAUUUGGAGUUCAGUCUUUUUUUCUGUUUCUUUGGCGUCUUCAAGUGUUGUAUUAGUAAUAAGUAAGUAAUUUAAGUUUCUGAGCUCGUUUAUGUUAUCAGGUGUUUAACAUUUAAAAUUUGGAAUUCUUUAUAAUUUUCAAUCUAAUUUAGAAAUAAGAAUCAACAAACAAAACAAUGAGCAAUGCAUGGUUCCUAUGCUAUAUGUUAAUUCUGAAAAUAGGUAUCAGAGAAUUUUAAAUUUGUUAUGAAAAUUCAAGGAAAUGAGAAAAAAAUUCUGGAAAAAAUAUUUAAGUAUCAAAUCAUAAUUAUUGAUUUAUAUAUAUAUAUGGAGGAGUAAAUUACUAAUUAAUAUUAUGUACCUCAUAUUUCAGAAUAUUAUGAUAUACCCAAUGAUAACUAUAAUUUUCUGUAAAAUUACCAAUGAUUUCCAUGAUAAUGAAACAUUUUUACUCUGAUUUCCUUUAGUGAUUUAUUCUCGGUAUAACUGUGUUCCUUGUGUUUUUUUAAAUUGUAUUUGUUGAAAAAAAAUAGUCUGAUCCUAAAUUUUAGUUUACUCUAAUGCAUGUUGGUGCUCAAAGUCUCAACCAAGUCAAAUAAAUUAUUCAUCUUAUCAAUGAAAACAUUUUCCUUUUUUUUUUUUGUGUAUUGUUUAGAUAAAAAUCUUAAAUUUUGCAUACAGCAUUUAAAAUUUUUCUCUACACUUAUGUAGUUCUUGAGUUGGAAUCAGGGUUUUUCUCUAAAAUAUUAAACACUCAUCUAUAACUAUUGAAGUGUUUCAAUGUUGAAUUCUAAUAUUAUAUAUUAAAACUUUCAAGCGACUUCUUGUUUGGUAAUUUACUACCCGUGAUCUAGUGUUCCAUAGUACUAAUGAGAUUAAUGUGUUUAUGUAAUGGUAUUUUAAACUAUUUAUAAUAUAAAAUACUAUAAUAAGGGGUUAUUUUGAUAAUUUUCCAAUGGUGUUUUAUUGUAGUUUUCAUUUUACUAACAGUAUGGUGAAGAAAUAUUAUUUUUUAAUUGCUCUACAUCUAAUUUGUCUACAAUAAUCAGUAGAAAAAAUUUAUUUUUGAUAAUUUUAAUACAUUAUUUUUGAAGCUAAUUGUAGCUUUACACGUUAGAUUAUAUACGGGAUUGAUUUGCUAUAUACCCCCUUAUUUUUAAUUAAAUCAUAUGGUUUAUCCCCUGAACUAUCAAUGCUGUCAAAAACAAAAUUACUGAAUGAAAGAUUUAAUUUAGAUUGGUAAAUACCUAUCUAAUUAUGUAAUUAAAUAAGUAAAAAUUAUUAAAUAAACAAAUAAGUUAGAGUAAAUUAACAAAUAAAUUAUGAUUUAUUUAAUUUAACAAUAUAAUAGACAACUAUAUCAGUGUACAUUUUUUGAUAGAAUUUCAAUCAAAAUUUAUUGAAAUUAAUAUAUUAAUUUAAUUAGGUGAUUAUUAAAUAGACAUAAGAUUAAAAAAUAGAAUUAAAACAACAGAAAAGCAUUCUUUAUUAGUUUAAUUUUUGUUUGUCGGAAUUUGGUAACAUAAUCUCAGUUUAUUUAAACAUUAUCAAAUGUAUGCGGUAAUAUAUAAUAUACUUAAUACAUAAUCCAAUGCUAUAUAAUAAUAUAAUGUUUAGAAUUUGUAGUUUUUUAAAGUAACCCCAGGUGUAAUAUCAAACUAAUUCCACGACAAAAUAAUGCAUAUACAUUUUUAUGUUCAUAAUAAUAACAUGUUAAACAAUUCAUUUCAUUUGCAGAGAUACCUUAAAGUUGUUAACUUGAUUUAAAUUAUUGUAGAAAAAUAUAUAAUUAUGAAAUUUCCACAGAACUUCAAUUUUGAAAAUAAAAAUUUGUUUAUAAUAGCUAAAUGAUAACCGAAUAAAAACAAAUGAUCACUGAUAAUAAUUUUUUAUCAAUAGAUUUUUGACCAGUUGUACUAAACGCCAAAAUAUUAAAACCGAAAAUUAAUUUAUGUUAUCAACUAUUAGUACCACUGAUCUUAGUCUUAUCUUCUGAGACCAUGGUUUGUACCAUUAUUAUGAAAAAUAAUAUUAAUUUCAAAUUAAUCUCACGUUUUAAAUUUGUAUUCAAUAAAUUUCUUACAGGUUACAGCACUUCUCAAAAUGAGACAAAAAAUUAGAAAAAUAUUCUGUUUAUCUAAUUAACCGAGACUAGUUAUUUUACUAGUUAAAAAGCAAAUUCAUAAAAUAGUGUUAUUUUAAUUAAAUAAUCUAUAUUCAAAAAACGUUAAAUUUGAUGUCUUAAUUUUAUUUCCUGAUAAGUCUUUUUGAAUUAUAAAUUAAUUUAUUGUAGGUAUCCAGUAAAAGCUGAAUUGCUGUUUAAUUAUACUAUCUAAUGGUUUUUUCCCCAUAAAUGUUUAAAAUAAUUUGUGUUGGUUGUUCGAAUUAUAAAAUACAUUAGUUAACUUUUGCUUUAGAUCCUAAGUGUAGUGAAAUAGAUAGUUUUACAAUAAUAUUUAUAUUUUGGCCAUCCUAUUUUCUUAAGAAGCCAAGAACAAUCAUCACAGUGGUGAUAACUGCUUUUAUUAAAUUGUACAAAAUAAAAUACACAAUACUGCACAGUUGAAAUUUGUUAAAAGUUUUAGGUCUUUAUUGCUGGAGUAAAAUUCUAUGAUAAUAAAAAAUGUGUACACUAAUUGGCGUUAGUGAUCUAUCUUCUGGGUAGGGUUUAUGUUAAAUUACAAUUUUAAGAAAAGUACCAACAUUGGACAAAUUUAAUAUGAUAUACAUUUCUGUUAUCGUACAGCAGAUCUUGCAUAAAUAUCAAUAGAAUUUGUCUCAGUGAGUAUCUAAUACCGAGAAUAGUGAAACUGAUUGUUAAAAUAUGUAUACAACAUAUAAUAUUAUAUACUUUUAUAAUUUUUUUCCUGUAUUUUUAAACUAUACAGUCUGAUUAUAAAAAGACAUAGACUUAUAGAAUAUCCUCAUGAAUUGUGUGUGUACCUAGGGAUAUUGAUAAUUGUCUAGAAUAUAUUUAUAUUAAAUAUUGUUUUUGAAUUUAUUUCCGUAUACCUACUUCAUUGCUUAGAUGGGUAUUUAUAUAAUAUAUCUAAACCAUAAUUAAUAUUAUCUACUUGAUUGAAUGUUUUAUAUUUCUUUUUAUUACAAAUUUAGUUAUAAUAAAACAAAUAUGCUAUGAUUAUUUUUCAAAACUUGGAAACUUAAUACAAAUUUUGUUGGAGUUACAUUUUUAGACCUAUUUGGUUAUCUUUGCUAUUAUUUGUAAACCCUAAGUUUACCAAGGAAACCAAAAAGCAGUACAAAAUUCAAUAAUUUUGGAAUAUAUUUAAAAUCUAACAUUUAAGUGGGUGCACAAAGAAAAUGUCAAGGGAAAUUAUUAAAUAAUUUUGAUAAAUUGGCAUGUACCUAUUUAUAAUUGUUUGGUUCUAGUACCAUUUAUGUAGGUAUAAUAUUUAAAAAAUACAAAAAUUAACUAACUUACUUAUAUACAUAUAUUUUUUUUUCAGGUGAUGUUCUAAAACCCAGUUAUUGUACAGUUACAAAUAAGGUAAGUGGCUAAAAUUAAGGAAACUGAUAGGUCAGUGGUGUACUUAUGCUGAAGUACUUAUUAAUAUUAUUAAGUAGAUACUUGUAUAUUUUGUACUCGUUUUAUGUAUAUAUAUAUAAUACUGAAAUAGGUAAUUACUAUGUAUCAUAAUACUUAUUAUUUUAUUAUAUUUAUUUGACAAAUUCCUAUUUAAUAUGUAUAUUAUAUAGUUUUAAUUAAAAAAUUAAUAUACAAUACAUGUGUUAUAUGAUACUUAGUUCUCACCUAUUAUUAUAUUAUAUUGAGUGUAUAGUUAAUAGAAAACACUUAAUAUAAUUAAUUUUAAAUGAUUUAAUAAAUGAGUUUAUUUUCUUGUCUCUCAGAAGAUUUCAAGAUCAACAUUCAACAACCAUAAGAGGUAAAUUAUAAUUUUUUCUUCAUAGUUGGUCCAUACAAACAUAGAUUAUAUCAAACUAAACAAACAGUUAAUUUUAGAAAAUAUGUGACAUCUUAGGAUAGUGGGGGGACGGUUGCAGUCACUGAUGAAGGUAAUUUAAUGUAUACCUAUAUGCAACAAUAUAAACCAUUGCUUACAAAAAAACGAUUCUAAACGGAGUUUAGUUGUUAGUAAUGCUUUGUCAAUGAUAUAUAUGUCAUAUUAUAGUAAAAUAAUUAAAUAGGCUCUAUUUAUUUUCUUUAAUAUUAUUUGUUAAAUGUUGUAUCAAUUUCCCCAGUUUUUCACAUUUUCUGAGAAAACUCUGGGGAAAAUAUAAAAACACAUCUCUUUAAAGUACCUCCCCAAUAAAAUUUCCUUUCAGAAAUAUUUCUAUCAUUAAAAGUUGGAGCAAAAUUGCUAGUAGAAAAGUUGUCCACAGAAAAAAAAAUUAACAUCUUUGUAAAACCAUUAGCUUCUUCACUCCACUCAGAAUCUAAAACAUGUUUAGAUGUUAAAUUUGAAACAAUUUAUUCGUAUCUCUAAAAGUUAAUUUUGAAUAGUGAUUUCCCUAAUGUAUGAUUUAAAACAUAUUUAAACAUGUGAGUAAAAACUGUUCAUAAAAAUUUUCAAGGGAUCAGUAAAAAUUUGUCAUAAUAAUCAAUAGUUGUUAUAACCUGAAUGUUAAACCAAUUCAAAAACUUGAUAUUAUGUAAUAUAAUAAUACAAGUAUUUGCAUUAAAAUUAAUAGGUACAUAUUAAAAUAAUUUGUCAUCUUAGUUGUAUUACUUUUAUUUUUGGUAUGCUAAUAUCAUUUUAUUUUUAAAAAUUUUUUUUUGAACUAACAUUAUUCCAAGUCAUAAUUUAAUAUUUAUUUUAUUGCAUUGGGCAAUGAAGAAAUUAGUAAAUCUUCAUUGGGAGGAGUAUCUUCUUUUUCACUGUUGUCAUCUUUCUUGAGUUGGUUAUUUAAUAAAGAAAUAAUUUUUCGAUCAAUUAAUUGCUCAGAAAUUAGUAUAUCAUAAUGUCAAAGUUAACAUAACUAUCCGCAUUUGUAAACCCCUUUUUGAAUUGCAUUAUUGAAACCAGUAUGAUGAAAAAAGUUUUGAUUUGUACUCUAAAACUUUUCUAAGGUUAAAAAAAAAUCAGUAAAUUUGUUUUUAUAUUAUUGAUUACCCUUUUAAUUAUUUUUAAUUUUUGAUAUAUGUAAUACAGUCAUUACUGAUAAAUUAUUUGUCCAAUAUUACCUAAAAAUCUGUAUAAUGAUUACUCAUUAUGUAGACGUCAAAAUAACCAAUACAAAUUAGUAUGUACAAUAUAGAAGUUUGGCCAUUACCUAAAAUUUAACGCCAUUACACCCAGUUUGUUACUAUAACCGAUGUUAUAAUAAAUAGUUUCUACUAUAUUAACAUUAUUUCUCUACACAUCCAUAAAUGGUAAAUGCUGCUAUUAUUAUUUUUUUUAUCUGAACAAAUAAUUAUAAAUAAGAAAAUAUUUUUUUUGAUUUAUAUUAACCAAAUAAUUAACUGUUUGUGUUUGAUUUUAAUUAUAGAAAUUAAAAUAUCUUUUUUUUAAAUUUUAAAAUGUUAUACAUUAUAUUAAUACAAUAAGAAUAUGUGGUGAAUGAUGGAAAAACAAGAUAUUGAGGUGGAUGAAAUCACCAUUAUUUAUGAGGAGUUUUUUUUUUUUUUUUGCUGCUUUACUAUAAUAUUGUUUGAAUUUUUGUUUUAAUUUAUUAAAAUAAAUUUUUAUAGUCGGAGUACUUAAUUCAAAACUCAUAAGUUUCCCUACUACAUUAAUCAAAAACUAAACUAGGUAUAAACUUAGAUGAUUCUUAAUAUUUGUCAAAAAUGUAUAGUAGCUAUUUUUUCAGUGCUAUUUCUCUCAAGAUUUAUUUAUCCAUAAUUAUUUUCAAUAUUUCUAAAAAUAAGUCCUAAAACCAAAUAUUAAGAUUUAACCAUGUUAAAUAUUAAAUUUCUAUAAAUGAAAUUAAAUUAGAAUUAAUUAAAUCUGCUAAAUAAUCAAUGACUUCUAAAUUUCCUGUUACAGUUAAAUGUUUCAUGAACUAUUUAUUUUUACAAAAAUUACCUAUGUGAACAAUUUUUGGAAUCAAUAUGUAUAUUUUAAAAUUCUACAUUAUCUUUAUUUUUUCUCUAUUUGGGGCGAAACCCCACUACCUACUUUUAAUUUUUAAAUACUAAUUCAUAUUAAAAAUUCCAUAAAUAUAUGCAAUUUUAGUAUAAAUACAUUUUGGUGGUGGAAUUGUUACUUUCCAUUAACCAGUUGACAAAAUAUUCCACUUUUAAGUUUAGGUUGGGGAAAGUGGUGGAGUGUGAUUUGAGUAGUGGCUACUAUCGUCACUACAUACCUGCAUUUUUAACGAUUUAUUUUUCUUAUUAUUAAAAUUGUAUAUUAAUAUACAGUUUUAAUUUUUGUUAAAUAUAUAGAUACUAUGUAAUAUGCAUUCAUGUUUAUAUACAUUUUAGUUUUAUUUAUAUAAGAAUUUUAGUAUAAUAGAGUAGAAUAUUUACAGGAAUAAAACUGAAUUAUUAAAGUCAUGUGGUCGUAAAGGUAAGUCGAGAGACAAGAAAAUAUGUAUCAAUUAAAAUAACUGAUAACUUGACUUGUAUAAUUAUACAUACAUAGUAUAUAAAUAUGUUUACGCAAGUAAUUAUUUUCUGUACUUCUAAUUUAAGUUUCUGAUGGAUGAUAUGGAGCUAUUACUGAAUUUUAAUUAUUUUUUUUUGUACCUAAUGUAUUUCCAUUGGAAUACAUAUUUAUUAUUGAGUUAAAUGAAUAAUUGAAAUAAAUAACUGAAUUAACUAAAAUCAAUUAUUUAAUUUUGAUUUGAAUCAAUAUUAAAUUGCAUACAUAUUUAUUUAUAAACAGUUUAUCUUUGGUUACCUAUUGAAUUUGUGAAAUUUCUAAAGUGUGAUUAUUUAAAGUUAUUGUGAAUUAUUUAUUUAUGUUCAAUUUAUUUAUGAUAUUUUCUCUGCGUGGUUACAGUUUUUUUGAUUCCGCAGAAAUUAAACUGUAAAAAAAUAAGGUAAGUAGUUACUUUUUUAAAUUUAUAUUUUAGUACACCAUGUAAACAUCUUAAUUUUUUUUCUAUUUUAGAAUUUAUCUAUUUACAAGUAUGCUAAUGAUAACAAUAACCAUACAAAUAUUAAAGAAGACAUCAAAACUUAAGGUAACACCAUGAUUAAUUAAUUAUUAUUUUUAAUUAUUGAAUACAUUAUAUUUUUACUAGAGGGCUGUGCUCUCUGAUCCCUACACUCGUCGACCUCAUAACUCAUAAUUACAAUUUUUUUUUUUCCUAAUAUGGAAGAUUUAAACAUCAAAACUCAGUUGUAUAAUUUAUUAUUAUUAUAAUUUAUUAUUAACUAAGUACCUAGACAUAACUUCACUUGAAGUACAAAUCUCUUAAUAAAAAAUAUUUAUCAUAAAAUUUACAUGAAUUAAAAAUUGUUUUAAAUGUUAAGACGAAAAUUUGAUCAGUAUUUAAAUACUUAAUUUUAAUGAUAUAUAAAAUUUGUAAAUUGUAUAUCUUUUAUGUAUAUAUUACAG
This is a non-coding RNA of Cinara cedri, 10710 nucleotides long. Lineage: Eukaryota; Metazoa; Arthropoda; Insecta; Hemiptera; Aphididae. The record is from the annotation of a GenBank genome assembly.